This 73-nucleotide transfer RNA is filed under the name Alphaproteobacteria bacterium. RNAcentral's name for it is "tRNA-Arg". It matches the Rfam family "tRNA". Rfam says of the family: Transfer RNA (tRNA) molecules are approximately 80 nucleotides in length. Lineage: Bacteria; Pseudomonadati; Pseudomonadota; Alphaproteobacteria. The record is from RNAcentral.
GCCCCUGUAGCUCAGAGGAAGAGCAGCGGUCUACGAAGCCGCGUUUGCGCAGGUUCGACUCCUGCCGGGGGCG